Molecule: long non-coding RNA, 2508 nt
Organism: Benincasa hispida (wax gourd)
Lineage: Eukaryota; Viridiplantae; Streptophyta; Magnoliopsida; Cucurbitales; Cucurbitaceae
Source: RefSeq, a predicted model, not a curated record
AUUUUCACUGAUUCGAUUCUUCAACAUAUAUAUUCCUGACCUAACUUUCUUUGGCAAUUCCUGAAUAAGUUUUCUUGGGUUUCUUAAACCUAACUUUCUUUAUUUAUGGGUUCCUUAACAAGUUUGUAUCAUACAGUUAUCGCAGUUCAAUUUUUUGUGCCAUAAGAGAAAGUGGUGCUCUGUCGUGCUGGAGUUUGCUUGGAAGAGAAAGAUAUGGCGGACGGGAUGUUCAUCGUGAAGAAUGUUAGUGGGCUGCUAGCAUUAAGCAAAGCUGAAAGCUCAAGGAACUCUUUCGCAUCACCUUCGUCAAGCCUGCUGGAAUUUUAUCCACUUGUAAAUUGGACGAUUUCAUCAAUAUAUUUGAGAUUCCAAAUUUGAUAUCGGGUUGCACAGAGUUGAUUGAAUCUGCGGAACAGUUUUUGGAGAAGAGGAAGAUGAACCAGAUAUUGCUAACAUACAUCACUAUACUCUGCUUGAAUUACUUGGAAUUUCCUCAGCUCAUGGACACACGUGUGUGUUGUGCUAGGAAAUUUGGGAAUGCAGAUGAAAGGGGCACAUCGUGGACACAAUUAAUCAGAUGUACUUGAAGGGUUUGAAUCAUAGUGAUGAUUCUUUGGAGAGAAUCACUACAGCUGAAGCAAUUCGAACACUUAUCUACUUCUAUAUUCACCACAACAUUGUUAUGUAGCAUUAAAAAAGGUUGAGGAGACCAUGUCAAAAUUUGUAAGUCUUCUACUAGCUAGUUUAAUCCACUGCCAAAUUAUUCUCAUUUCAAUGAUAAUUCUUCUGGUUGAAAUAUUCCUGAAAAUUCCAUGAAAAAUCCACUGGUAUGGAUUUUGUACUCCUUAUGCUACAAUUUAUGUUAUUUUUUAUGAUUGCAAUAUCACUUAAAGAUUGAGUUUAUGGUUGUUGUUUAGAUCCAAAGGUGGUCUUAUUUAAAUUUUAGGAGCAGUGCUUCAUUUCUCAACGAUUUUUAUGGUAACAAUAUCACUCAACGAGUAAGUAGCAAUGCUUCAUUUCUCAAUCGAAUUGCAUGCCUAUUACCAAACUUCAAAAAAGGAUUGUAUAGGAGUAAGUUCAAGCCUUGCUCAAUUACAAGAAGUUUUCCACUUGCUCAGGACCUUCAUGUUGGAAGCUGUUUGGAUUUCUGGUUUUUUAUUUUUGGAUUCUCUGUUUUGAGUUAUUUCUUUCAACUCUUUGGUAGAUCUUUUUUUUUAUUAUUAUUAUUGUUUUAGCUUUCUCAUUAGAAAAACCAACCUUAGCAAGUUUUUACACAGGAUUACAAUUGCAUUUAUUUUGUUAUACAUAGAAGAUGUUUCAGAAUGAUUAAUGGGCUAUUAAAUUAUACUUGUUUUCUCUAGAAGAAAAAAGUUCACUAUUUUGAUUAAGCCAUAUUAGAACUCAUUUCUACUAGAAAAGAAGGAAGGGAAUGAGUCGUUAAUUUUGUUAGCUUACUUUCAUUUCUGAAUUCUUCGUCUUUUCAACUUGUUUGUUUUUCUUUCUCCUCUAUUUCUGAUUAGUCAUAAAUGUAGAGAUAGGGGUAGGAAGGUAGUAUUGAUGGACUGCGCUUUGGGAUUUUAAGGUCUUUUUUAGUUUUGGAAAUUUGUGUGUUAUGUGAAAGCUUCUAGUUCCUUUACAUGAGUGCUUAUGACGACUACUACUGCUACAACUUCCAUAGCAAUUAGUUUUGUUGAUAGCUUUGCUCGUUCUUCUUUCCAUUCACCUUUUUUGGUGUGGAAGAGAGAUUGAAAACAAUAAAUAAGUUGUUCCCAUAAAAGAAAAAAAAAGUUUGAGGUUCUUUACUUUCAUUGUUUAUCUUUUCUAAUCGCAGUAUUUAUGCCUUAGGAUUGCGUAGUUACCUAUUUUUUUUCUCUUUCCAUGGUUAAUUUCGUUAACCUUUGCUUUGAUUAAAGAAGUUGAAGUGGAAAUGCAAUUACCAAUUAGUGAAAUGAUUGAGAAGAAAGACAAAAACUUCAUUGGAAAAAUUAGAAUUCCCAAAUAAGAUAGUUAUAAUUAACAAAAUCUCAUCCGUCCACUGUAACCCAAUUUACUUGAAUGGUUUGUGUCCUUUUAUUGAUGAAGAUUUUGAUUGCGAGGGAAAUGAAAGAAUGGAUUCAAUAGAAAAUUUGGCAUUUUUUUAGGGAUUCAUUGAUGUACACACAUUGAUUUUGUUGGCUUACUUAUAUUUGUAUUUUGCUAAUUUUCUGUUGUUUCUUCUUGAAGGGUUUUAAAGUACUUGAAAAUUUCUCCAAUUGAAGCUUUGAUUUCAGCUUUAUGGUUGGAGAUAUAUUGUGAGGUUUCCUUGUGCCUUAGUCUUCGAAAAAGAUAAAAAUGUAGAUACGACUAUAAUAAUCUACCAUAUUGUGUAGUGAUUACAAUGAUCCUACAAUGUUAAAUACAUUGUUAAAGUUUGUAUUUUGAGAACUAAGUGAUGUUGGAUUACAUUUAGUGAAUAUUUUAUCUUGUAUCGUUUGAAUAACUUUUUUAUUCUAGGAAAUUACUUAAUAC